Molecule: non-coding RNA, 346 nt
Organism: Pelobates cultripes (western spadefoot toad)
Lineage: Eukaryota; Metazoa; Chordata; Amphibia; Anura; Pelobatidae
Source: the annotation of a GenBank genome assembly
CCUGCCUGUUGGGGGUCCUCCCAGGACCAGUCUAUGAGGUCUGCUGCCUCGGGUACCUCUGGUUGGGGUUGGGGAAGAAGACCGGUUGUCUCUUCCCUCUGCAUGGUGCACUGCCGCUGGGGAGAGAGGUCGCUGCUCUCCUCUCCCUGUAACUCAGGCUGCCGCUGGGGAGGGAGGUCGAUGCUCUCCGCUCCCUGUAACUCACCCAGGGGUUGGGGAUCUGGGCCGACUGCCCAGCAUCCCUGUAGGGCCUGUAGAGAGACCUCGGUCCCAUCUCUACCUGCCAUCAGAGGUUCCUCCCAGUAUACCUCUACGAUAUCCUUCCAGCUGAAGGACUCUCGAUCUG